UAGAAUUCAUAGACAAUGACAGAGAGACUUCUCUACUGACUUUUUCCUGUAUCAAUUUCCAGAAAUGAACCUAAUGUAAAACUCUAUUUGAUUUCAAAGAAAAAAAAGUGAAUGAUCUUAGCAUUUUAUUUUCUAAGUAAGGGUAGUUGGUUGUAAUUUCCUGUUGAACCACUGGAAAAUUAAAACAUAAUAACACACAAAUAGAUACUCCUCAUCCUGAAAUUCGUACAGAAGAAUAAAGCUGACCAUUCCUCUGUAUUAAAUAUGCUCUUGCAAAGCUUAGAGAAACCUGCCAGUUCUGUUUUUUUAUUUCAACAGAAAAAGCUUAGAUAUGGCAGAGAUUUAAAGGAACUCCCUCCUGCAGGUAUCUGGGACACCCUGGAAUCCAGGAUUCAGUCUCUGAAGGAAUGAUGGAGCUGCACACUUUAGUGCUCACAGUAAAGGACCAAUCACAUAAUCAAGGUUGCUUCACUGUCAUCUUCUGGCAUGGACCUCAAGUGUUCAUUCUGAACCAGUCUGAAGUCAGCCUCCCUGCUGCAGCACCUCCUGUAUCAGAUAAGACAACACAAUCACUUCGCUGUCACUGUUGGAGCACUAAAAUGCUCUGGAAACAAAGACAUGGGGUUGAAAAUCCUGCUGGAACACAAAGACAGCCCUACUUUGUUCAAUUUGUUUUGCUGCUGCUUACAGUAUCCAUAUUUUCACAUUGUCUAUGACCCUCUGCUAAAAAUACAUCAGUGGAAAACCAACUUCUGUAAAGACUCUAUUGCAAGACUUUAUUUUUCACCUGAUUGAGGAUCACAAGGCAAUGGUUAUGUUAUAGAAACACUUAGUUACUUCAUUAAUUUGCAGGGUUGUCAUAUUUAACUCUAGAAAUGUGUACUGUAGUUUCCAGGAACAUUAUUUUUUCCUAUAAUUAUAUGGUCCAUAGUAUAAUUAUAUGGUCCAAAACAGUGCAUAUAGUUUGGAUUGUUUUCCACCAAAUCUAGCUUCAUUUUAUAUGAUACCAAGAGAUGUUAAUGUCUCUUGGUCUCAAUGUAAUGUUUUGUUUUCACAAAAUGCCCUCUAUUUAGCACAGCACCUGGAAAAUGUUUCAUCUAGUUGGUGAAUGACUUUUGAACAGCUGUCAGUAAUGGAGCUGUUUAAUUCAUCAGUGGAAAACAUCAGGAGGAAGUUCUUCACAGAGAGAGUGGUUGCACACUGGAACAGGCUCCCCAGGGAAGUGGUCACUGCACCGAGCCUGACUGAAUUUAAGAAGAGAUUGGACUGUGCACUUAGUCACAGGUCUACCCAAAAGUUCAGACCAUGUGACUAAGGGGUAGACCUGGCCGGUGUCAAAAGUUGGACUUGAUGAUCUUUAAGGGUCCCUUCCAACUCAGGAAAAAAUUUAAAAAAAAAAAAAAAAAAGUAAAAAAUGAAAAAUGCUGAUGCAAGAGUACAUGAGUACAUUAUGAUUUAAAUACCGUAACAAUUAAUAUAAGGAACCAAUAAUCCCAUCAGAAAAUACGUUCUGGUUUGAGGAUUGAGCUCUUUCUUUCAAAUUAUAGAUGAGCUAAUUUUAAUUUAUUCUUUGUUACACAAAACGAUGCACAUAGGUAUUAUAUUCAAUAUAUUCUACCCCGAGUCUGCACUGGAAGGAACAAAGAUAUUCUAUGAAACUGUUGCACAGUAUAACCAUAAGAACCAUGCUGUAAUAGGAAGUAAUUUGGUAAAAACAUCCAAAAACAUCAAUGUAAUAUAUAUAGAGAGAAAUAUGUAUAUAAAGAAAAAUAUAGAUAUAAAAGUAUAAAAUAUACAGCCCAAAAUUUAGCUAUAUUUGUAUUAGUUUUAAAUUACACGUGAUAAAUAUGAAUGCAUUAAAUAUUACAUUAAAAUCGUUUGAAAUAUGCCUUUAUUGUUCUGAAAAAUAAACUGCAACUCCAAACCUUUGUGUAUCUGAGG
RNAcentral lists this long non-coding RNA (1941 nucleotides) under Anas platyrhynchos platyrhynchos (common mallard). RNAcentral describes it as "lncRNA (ENSAPLG00000027960.1)". Lineage: Eukaryota; Metazoa; Chordata; Aves; Anseriformes; Anatidae. The record is from RNAcentral.